RNAcentral lists this ribosomal RNA (498 nucleotides) under uncultured bacterium. Its description in RNAcentral is "bacterial SSU rRNA". It matches the Rfam family "Bacterial small subunit ribosomal RNA", at positions 23 to 518 of the family's 1533-position model. The record is from RNAcentral.
CUCAGGAUGAACGCUAGCGGCAGGCUAACACAUGCAAGUCGAGGGGCAUCGUGGAGUAGCAAUACUCUGACGGCGACCGGCGAAAGGGUGAGUAACGCGUGAGCAACAUGCCCGAUAGUGGAGGAUAGUCGAUGGAAACGUCGCGUAAUACUCCGUAAUAUAAGGGACCGCAUGAUCCUUUAUUAAUAGAUUUAUCGCUAUCGGAUUGGCUCGCGUACCAUUAGCUAGUUGGCGGGUAACGGCCCACCAAGGCGACGAUGGUUAGGGGUCUGAGAGGAAGGUCCCCCACAUUGGAACUGAGACACGGUCCAGACUCCUACGGGAGGCAGCAGUGAGGAAUAUUGGACAAUGGCCGGAAGGCUGAUCCAGCCAUGCCGCGUGCGGGAAGACGGCCCUAUGGGUUGUAAACCGCUUUUGUUGGGGAGCAAUAAGGUCCACGUGUGGAUCGAUGGGAGUACCCAGCGAAUAAGCAUCGGCUAACUCCGUGCCAGCAGCGGC